CCCUCUGCAGAAUUUUCCUACUAUGGAAUGUCUGACUUUAUUUGUCUUUUUCUAAGGAGUCCUCUGCUGGCUUCCCUUAAAUAGGGCUGACUUGCUUAUUUCAAUCAGUUAAUUUUCUCCUUGUAAUUUAUUUAAUAUUAUAUUAAGAAAUAAUCGUGCUUGUAGCAUGUUUUCAUAAAGUAUCGUGUUUAUCUUAUAUCUCUUCAAGCAAAUAGAAAUUUUCUCCAUUAUACAUGGCAUUUUUUAAGCUUUUCACUGCAAGUUGACCCAAAGAACAUCAGCUUCAACAGAAGAAAUUGCUGGUACAGCUGCAUGAAAUUUAGACAGUGACCAGAUGUCAUCCCCACCGCUCAGUCUUUGCAGUUAGCCCUGCUGACAGCAUCUUCCUGACAGCGUUAUUCUGAGGAACAUUGUAACAUUGUCAAGUGCAGUAAAUCAGGUCUAAAAGGCCAGAAAAAAUGUAUUAAAUAAAACAGAGAACUGAACGACACAGAAAAUUGCCGAAAAGUUUUUUUUUUUCCUUCUUCCUUUUUUUUUUCCUGAAAAUUCUGGACAUCAGAAAAAGUAUAUGGGGACAGAGACAAGUGUUACACCUAAGGGAAUGCUCCCUCCUCCAAGCCUCUUGUCAGACACAUCUUUCUGUGGAAAAUCAAGUGGAACAUUGUCACUAGGAAGCACAGGCUGAACCAGGACAAUUGAAUUAUCUUUGGCAAAACAUGCAAAGAUGCCCUAGAAUGUAACUGCUAUUGUUGAUGCUUUUGACACUUCAGUUUUCUACAAGGAGGAAAAGUUCUUUUUUUAAACAAGUAGAUGAAUGUAUGUGCAUGUAGAUGUUGGAAGUCAUAUUCUUGUUAGAAGAAAAUUUAGCUGGUUAAAGCAGAAAGAGUGAGUGAUUUAGAAAGUUUGGGUCUUUUUCUAGAAAUGGUUUUAGUUGUGGUCACUUGCAAGGUUGUGUUGCACCUCUAACACAGUGUUAAGAAGCAGUAAGUAAAUAAAUAAAUGGAAUCACAGAAUGAAUCAGGUGGGAAGAGGCCUCUAGAAACAGUCUAGCCCAACUGCCCAGUACAGGAUUCAAGUAUUCAAUACUCUAACUAGUAAAAUGUAUCUAGAAUAGGUAAGUUUGAAUAAAUGAAUACACAAAGUAGAACAUCCACUUUGCCAGGCUGCGUUAAGUGAGGCAACAAUUAAAAAGUAACACGUGGAUUUUGUCUGUUGCAGCUGUUGUACCUGUUUAAAUAAAGGCAUCUUAUAUCUCACACUCAGCUCUGAAAGCCUGAAACUUCCAUGACAAAUUGUUCACUCUCUGAUCAGAGAAGUAAGUAAAAAUGUAAACUGUUUAUGUAAUCCUUUUCUUUCUGAUUCUAUCUUCAUAAUAUGCAUUUUGCAGUUAUUCAUCGUCGAUAUCCUACAUUCUUGUCAGUCCUUUUACUGCCAGAUCUGAAAUUGCACUUCCAAUCCUAUGACUUGCCUGAUCAGUUAUAGCUGUGUAAAAUAAAAUAAUAUGAUCAUUUGAGUUGGCUUAAACAUAACAAAGUAAUUCUUAUUUUAGGACAUUGAUCAUAGCCCCUGUUGUUUCUGCCAUCUUUUUAUUGAAAAUGAAUGCUAGACCUUCUGUGUGUUGGUAUCUUUUCUGAGAUUAUAAAUUGUACUCUUCCCAACCUGAUAACAACCACAAGAGGGUUAUUAUAUUUAUGUCAAAUUAACUAUUCAAUUUAUUUAGUCACAGUCACCUCUUUGAUUUUAAUACAAAUGUUGAAACACUACACAUUUUCAAAA
Zonotrichia albicollis (white-throated sparrow) is the source of this 1776-nucleotide long non-coding RNA. RefSeq lists it as uncharacterized. The record is from RefSeq and is a predicted model, not a curated record. NCBI's taxonomy places the organism in Eukaryota, Metazoa, Chordata, Aves, Passeriformes, Passerellidae.